UACGAAGGGGGGCUAGCGUUGUUCGGAAUUACUGGGCGUAAAGCGCACGUAGGCGGCUUGUCGCGUCGUUCGUGAAAACCUGCAGCUCAACUGCAGGCUUGCGGGCGAUACGGGCAGGCUAGAGUUCGGUAGGGGAGACUGGAAUUCCUGGUGUAGCGGUGAAAUGCGCAGAUAUCAGGAGGAACACCUGCGGCGAAGGCGGGUUGCUGGGCUGACACUGACGCUGAAGUGCGAAAGCUAGGGGAGCGAACGGG
Molecule: ribosomal RNA, 254 nt
Filed under: uncultured bacterium
Lineage: Bacteria
Description: partial 16S ribosomal RNA
Rfam family: Bacterial small subunit ribosomal RNA
Source: RNAcentral